Molecule: ribosomal RNA, 440 nt
Filed under: uncultured bacterium
Lineage: Bacteria
Description: partial 16S ribosomal RNA
Rfam family: Bacterial small subunit ribosomal RNA
Source: RNAcentral
CCUACGGGUGGCAGCAGUGGGGGAUAUUGCACAAUGGGGGAAACCCUGAUGCAGCGACGCCGCGUGAGUGAAGAAGUAAUUCGGUACGUAAAGCUCUGUCAGCAGGGAAGAAAAUGACGGUACCUGAGUAAGAAGCCCCGGCUAACUACGUGCCAGCAGCCGCGGUAAUACGUAGGGGGCAAGCGUUAUCCGGAUUUACUGGGUGUAAAGGGGGCGUAGACGGCAGUGCAAGUCUGGAGUGAAAGGCGGGGGCUCAACCCCCGGACUGCUCUUGAAACUGUACGGCUGGAGUGCAGGAGGGGCAGGUGGAAUUCCUGGUGUAGCGGUGAAAUGCGUAGAUAUCAGGAGGAACACCAGUGGCGAAGGCGGCUUACUGGACUGUAACUGACGUUGAGGCUCGAAAGCGUGGGGAGCAAACAGGAUUAGAUACCCUUGUAGUC